RNAcentral lists this ribosomal RNA (253 nucleotides) under uncultured bacterium. Its description in RNAcentral is "partial 16S ribosomal RNA". It matches the Rfam family "Bacterial small subunit ribosomal RNA", at positions 524 to 776 of the family's 1533-position model. The record is from RNAcentral.
UACGGGGGGGGCAAGCGUUGUUCGGAAUUACUGGGCGUAAAGGGCUUGUAGGCGGCCAACUAAGUCAGACGUGAAAUCCCUCGGCUUAACCGGGGAACUGCGUCUGAUACUGGAUGGCUUGAGUUCGGGAGAGGGAUGCGGAAUUCCAGGUGUAGCGGUGAAAUGCGUAGAUAUUCGCAAGAACACCAGUGGCGAAGGCGGCUCACUGGCCCGAUACUGACGCUGAGGUGCGAAAGCGUGGGGAGCAAACAGG